ACUGUGCCUCUUGUCUCCAUGGAGGCUUUGGAGAAAAGGUGUUAAUGGUUAAUUUAUUUCUUCAUUUAUUCAGUCAAUGAACAUUAUUGCAGUUCCUACUGCUGAGACUAAGGGCUGAAGUGAGGAUGGCCUCCCCUCUGCUUAAGUCAGGCAAACACUACUGCUGUUCUCUUCUAGGUAUUUGAUCCCUGGGUCGAGGACAUCCCCUGGAGAAGGAGCCUGUAAAACCCCUUGGACAGAGGAGCCUGGUGAGCUAGGUCCAUGGGGUCACAAAGAGUUGGACAUGACUGAGCACGCGCAUGCACAAUUAGCUACAUAGCCACUACUGCAAUUCAGUGGGAAACAAACGGUGCUGGAUCAACCGGAUAAACA
Molecule: long non-coding RNA, 372 nt
Filed under: Bos indicus x Bos taurus (hybrid cattle)
Lineage: Eukaryota; Metazoa; Chordata; Mammalia; Artiodactyla; Bovidae
Description: lncRNA (ENSBIXG00000027488.1)
Source: RNAcentral